This 72-nucleotide transfer RNA is filed under the name Lachnospiraceae bacterium. Its description in RNAcentral is "tRNA-Cys". It matches the Rfam family "tRNA". Rfam says of the family: Transfer RNA (tRNA) molecules are approximately 80 nucleotides in length. Their secondary structure includes four short double-helical elements and three loops (D, anti-codon, and T loops). Lineage: Bacteria; Bacillati; Bacillota; Clostridia; Lachnospirales; Lachnospiraceae. The record is from RNAcentral.
AGACGUCGUGGCCGCAGGAAUGGCAUAGGCUUGCAAAGCCGAAGUUGGCGGUUCGAGUCCGCCCGGGGUCUU